GUAGCAACGACCGGCCGCCGUCGGUUCCGUCCGCACAUCUGGUUGAGGGGCGUCUCCUGUCGCCAUCUGUCAUCGUGAAUGGGGCCGUGCCGACGUGUCAGACGGGACGAACGGGGGAAGUCGGUCCAGAGUCACUGCGCCGCGCGGUUGUGUGAGCAAGCCGUGGGCUAGGUACCGCUCCAGGUCAGACCAUGGUUGGCACUGAAGAGUGCGGCGACACUAAAGAGCUGUGAACGAAGACGGUGAACGGCGAGAUGUGGUGACCGCUUGACUGACCUGUGCUCAAAGUCGUGAUCUACCGUUGGCCGCUGGGGUCAGUGCGUGAGAAGCUGGACUCGGCAACAACGGAGGACGCAGCUCGACGAGGAAGCUAUGCUGUGUUGAGGGACGUCUGCCGGUUACGACCGGAAGGUUUCCGACGGGACUUGGCAGAACCCACAACAGCAGUAUGAACCCGGCGUGGAGUUAAUGCGUAAUUGCUCGCAUGAGCAACCGAAGAGCGACUUCCAGGCGAAGAUGCCGCAGAAUUCCUGGAGAUGCGCUGGGACAUGGAUCAUAGCAAGGUGGCUCUCAGCGGCAGCUGACCGCUGAGAUGUGUCUGAAACAGCCAGAAGGAAGACUCGAGUUGUGGAUCCAGGGCACUACUGAUCGGAAGGCGGGACCAGCUGUAGGGAGACUACAGCAAAGCCGUCGUACUCAAUCUGCUGAACAGACUCCUACUGCAGAGGAAAAACUGGAGUUCGACGUGUUAGAACUGGGGUUAGACCGGUUACCAGUGCUCGUGUUCGUCACCUGUUGUUUGUCACUGCUGUGCUGCUGCUGUAUGUCAUGUUUGCCACCUGCUAAGCGUUCACAAUGUAUUUUAAGUGAAUAAUAACCUUUUUAGGGUUUUGCCGAAACGUCAUUAUUCUUUUCCUCAGGUUAAUAAAUAUCUAAAAAGUUAAUUGUUUUUAAAAACGGGCUUCGCUGAGGAAAACUAAAUAUUAUAACCAAAUACAUAUUUCGGCUUUAUUGAUCAGCCUUGUUCACUGGUUUGAAAUACAUUUUUCUCAAAAACAUGACCUAAAAAUUCAAAUAUUCAUAUCGUGCCGUCAGUGAUGACGAU
Molecule: long non-coding RNA, 1105 nt
Organism: Amphibalanus amphitrite
Lineage: Eukaryota; Metazoa; Arthropoda; Thecostraca; Balanomorpha; Balanidae
Exons: 3
Source: RefSeq, a predicted model, not a curated record